This 254-nucleotide ribosomal RNA is filed under the name uncultured bacterium. RNAcentral's name for it is "partial 16S ribosomal RNA". It matches the Rfam family "Bacterial small subunit ribosomal RNA", at positions 524 to 776 of the family's 1533-position model. The record is from RNAcentral.
UACGGGGGGAGCAAGCGUUGUUCGGAUUUACUGGGCGUAAAGGGCGCGUAGGCGGCCACCGCAAGUCGUCUGUGAAAUCUCCGGGCUUAACCCGGAAAGGUCAGCCGAUACUGCGGGGCUAGAGUGCAGAAGGGGCAACUGGAAUUCUCGGUGUAGCGGUGAAAUGCGUAGAUAUCGAGAGGAACACCUGCGGCGAAGGCGGGUUGCUGGGCUGACACUGACGCUGAGGCGCGAAAGCUAGGGGAGCGAACGGG